AGACAUUCGAAGAUUUGCCACUUCAAAUCUACAGCUCGAACUUAAGUUAAACAUACUAGAUUUCAUGAAACGAUUUGGUAAAGUUUCAAUAAGAAUUUCAGUCGGAGGAUUCUUCUUUGUAACAAAAAGAUUUCCUCUUAGGAUGGCCAGUUCUCUUCACACCGUGUUCUCAGGGCUCCUGAAAUUGAGAAGUGUGUCCUACGAAGGCAAAAUGUGUAAUGAAAUGUUAAACGAAAAU
Long non-coding RNA from Centruroides sculpturatus (bark scorpion), 238 nucleotides. RefSeq lists it as uncharacterized. The transcript is spliced from 3 exons. The record is from RefSeq and is a predicted model, not a curated record. NCBI's taxonomy places the organism in Eukaryota, Metazoa, Arthropoda, Arachnida, Scorpiones, Buthidae.